This 32-nucleotide non-coding RNA is filed under the name Rattus norvegicus (Norway rat). Lineage: Eukaryota; Metazoa; Chordata; Mammalia; Rodentia; Muridae. The record is from RNAcentral.
AAAGGUCUCUUGGAGUUUACAGCAUUGGCUUA